CUGGCUCCAGGCAAGGGCAGGACAAGCCCUUGCAGAGGCAAGGACCUACCAGGAAGUAAAAUAUCUGUUUGGUUUGCAAAUUUCCUGUAAAUUUUACAAUCAGCUCUAAAAGUGGGUACAAGUUGGUUUCUCCAACAGACCACUGGCAAUGUCCUGCACUGUGUAAGUUGGAAGUGUCCAGCAUAAUGAUAUGACACAGCUGAAAAGUCCUGCUGGUGUAGCAUCCCAGUAUCUCUGUGCCAUCCAGAGAGCCAUGGUCAUGCCCUGUCCAACAAGAUCUGGAUCUCAGCCUUGGUGGCCCUGGGGGUCUUCCUUCAGUGCUCUAACUCAAUCCUAGGGGUGAGGGCUAUUAGAUAUUAUAAAAUAGACAUGCUGUUAUACAGUAAAUCUACUGUUUCCAUAUUCUUUAGAGCCAAUCCUCAUGACUCCAAACUCCUGUUAUAGUUAAUAAUUCUUUAUAUUAGGCUUUCCCUACUAAUUACUAUAUGGUUUAUCUCCCUUGAUUAUACCCAGACUGCUUUACCUUGGUACAAAUCAUAACUUAUACCCUGCUAUCUUAC
Bos taurus (domestic cattle) is the source of this 560-nucleotide long non-coding RNA. The record is from Ensembl. Lineage: Eukaryota; Metazoa; Chordata; Mammalia; Artiodactyla; Bovidae.